UGUUACUGUUCAUUUUUUUUCAAUGUAGUUCUGCUUAGCCUGCGGUACAUCUAAUUUGCACCUGGCACCAUACUUUAUUAUAUUAUAUGGAUAUGGAUUUUUAGUAAUCGAAAUUAAACUUCUGCCCAAUUCUGCCCACUCUGAUGGGAAGUUUCAUGCUGCAGAGUUCAAAUCUAGUAAUUUACUGUUUUUCUUCGAAUAUUUUAACGCUAAAUUAUGACUACUAUAAGUAACAUCUGACACCAUUCAGGUUAUCAAAAAUAUUUCCUACUGCACUGACCAGUUACUAUAAUAAUAAUAAUGAGUUAUGGUAAUUCUCCCUCCAGAUGUCCGCAAAAAAAAAACUUCUUAGUGGCAGUUAGCUAAUGAUGUUAUUCUUACACAUGUUUAACAAGAAAUCUUUGUAAAUUUCUCAUAUCAUUUACAGAUGUUCCUUUCAUGAUGAUUUUUUAGGAGAUGUGUUCUCCUUGUCUCUUGUUUGUACAUUGAGUGAGCAGCUGUGCCAUUCUGCCUCUCCCUCGUUUAACCUUUAGCCAAUUCCUUUUGGAUUGGAUUAUUGUUUGAUUGUACAUCCACUUUUUAUGCAUUUUCCCAUUUGGAGUAUUAGCCGUGUUGAAUGGGAGUGAGUUGGACCAUCGUAAAUCAUAUUUAGGAAUUACGAAAACCCGUGUGUUUCAUUUAUUUUUUAUUGAGAAAUUGUACAGUGGGCUGGUGGCUGUGAGCUUAUUUGGUUGAAUGGCUCAAUUUCACUACAUAGGACACAGGAGAUCAGUUACUAGUUUUUGUUCAUACUAAAGAUGGAAAAGACCAACAAUGAUUUUCCUAUAACUGGUGAUGAAAAGACUGUGUUUCUGGCAUUGGAAUCAGGCGGCAGGAGAUUUCAGCUUGCAUGUUGAAAUUAUAUAUUUACUGUUUAUUGCUGAUCUUGCCUUUCUGAUGAUUUUUUUCUCUCUAACUCUCAUUAUUCUGAAAAUAGCCUCAAUUGGCGCUUCUGAAUAAAUAGCAAAUUGUGUUUCUUGUAAAUCAUAUAUAUACUAUAUAGUGUAUGGAAAAGCAAUUGUCCUUUGGGGUCACUAUGCCUUCAGUGAUUUCCUACACGCUACUACUGUUAUAUCAUACGACAUAAUUCUUGUAAUUUUGUUUCUUGUAAAUCAUAUAGUCAGCAAUUGAGGAUUAA
Molecule: long non-coding RNA, 1177 nt
Organism: Sorghum bicolor (sorghum)
Lineage: Eukaryota; Viridiplantae; Streptophyta; Magnoliopsida; Poales; Poaceae
Exons: 2
Source: RefSeq, a predicted model, not a curated record